UCACGUGCUCUCUUCUGCAGGAUCUUGGGUACCUUUCUGUCUGGGGACACAGUAUCUCCUUCUGGUUCCAGGAUGCUCAGCUCAAGGACCACAUGUGGGCUGGGCCGCUGUUGAAUCGCAGGUCAUCCUUUUGAAGUGGAAACAGGUCUAUCUAUACAGCUCGCAGAGGAACAGACAACAAUGAAAGGAAAGAGUUAGGAACCUGGGCUCCAAAUGGGACAGAAUCUUCUCUGUGCUAGCAAGGGUACCUUAGAAAUCAGGAUCUUUGCUUCUCAAAUGCCAGUGUGGUUCCUGAUUUCUCUGAGACUACUAGGAAGCUCCUCCCCAAAUUCUCCAAUGAAAACGAAUACUGCUUUAUUAGAAUUUGCCCAAAGUGUGAGUCCCUCCUUGUCUGCAGGAAGACUGGAGCAGAGUGUGACAGGAUUGUGACAUCAAGAACAAUGACAGUGGAGGGACCAGGCCAGGUGUUUGAGAUCCAUUGCGAUUUGAUUGCUCUGCCUGAGAGAGAGAGAGAGAGAGAGAGAGUGUCUUUCAGCCAUGGGCCUGAAUUAGUACUUUCACCAUGCUUGGUUACUGGCUGGGAGCAGCUCUUGAGAAUUACAGCUUUGGCACAAAUAUGGUAGUGGAUCCAGAGGAACAGAAGCUGAGAUUGUUGACUAUUUAUGCUCCUUGCAGCGGGAGAUCUGAAUGGUACAGCUUCCCGGCUGCCAUAUUGGAUUUACUUUGUAAAAUAUCAUGCUGACAGCUGCAUGGAGAGUAGCAUACAGAAACCACGGAAGGAGCCGGGACAGUAGUUAAACUACAGCAACUACUAAUGAAAGAGUACUAACGAGUGAUAGUGUCAAAAUUGGCAGAAGAGCUCAGAUUUGAAGUAUAUUUUUAACAUAGGGCCAACAGAAUUUUCUGAAGGCAUAGCUUUUGCAUAUGGGAUAAAAGUCAAGAACAACCCAGAUUUUCAGCUGGAACAACUCAGAAACAGUCAUAUAGUGAUAAGCUUCAGGUUAUUUCAUUCCUCUUUGAAGAUGAAAACAAUUCAACAACCUUCUUCUCCAUGCCUUUCAGAAUGAAUUUCUUCUUCUCCCGGAUUUUUCUUUCAAUUCUUGGCUGAAGUUUCAAGCUGUGAUCACUCCAGGUAAGAGCAGAAUUUGAGUUAACUUUGUGCAUCAGAGAGACCAAGGCAGGCAAGGUGAAGGAAAAAGAUUGCAGCAUCCCCGGUGCGUUCCCAGCCCUACCUCCCCUCGUAUUCUAGUUUCUGUGUCUUUGUUCACACUGAUCCUGUAGCUGGGUGGCCACUGUCUCUAACCCAUCGGCUUGUCUACACCUCUACCUUCAGACACCCUUUGACACACCUUUCCAAGGAAGGCAGUCAUCCCCACACUCCCUUCUCUCCACUCCCAAACCCCUGAAUGCAUUUCUAUGAAAUUAAUGUGCUCAAGCUUCUGACCUCUCUGCAAGGGGCCCCAGGGGUCUCUCCUCUGUAGUUAACACUCAGCAUUUUAUCUUCUCCAACUCAGACCCCCUAAAUGUCUCUGCCCCAGUCUCUGUUGCUAUUAAUCCAGUGUUGGCCGCAGGCAAAGCUGUUAUUCACUCCUAAAUGCCUCACAGACGGAGCAGACAGAUCAAAUGGAAAGGCUCCCCCAUCCUGUCCUCUACACCACCUUGCAGCUGGGCCUCAGCAACUGGGUAUGUAGAAUGCGGAUGAUAACGCUCGCCAUGUGGACUUGUCAUUGGGAUAAUGUUUAAUUUAAUCUGAUAAAAAUACUGAUUGACCACAGUGCUCAGUAACAUGUUGGCUCUCGAGGUGUGGCAGCUUCUUCCUUGCUUUUAUUCCUCCUGUAGAAAGUUAAUUGAAUUUCACAUGACUUGCAGCCAGUGGGCAAGGGAUUGACUCACAGCAAGAUGCGUGCUAUUCUAUGUAGGAGACAGGCCAUGACGGCUAUCGGGAAACAAUCUGAGCCAUGGUAUUGUCAUUCCCUGCCUAAUGGUUUGUUGGGUAAUGAGGGACAUUGAGACUUCUACCUUGUGGCAAAUCAGCUCAAGGCCUACCACCUGUAUCCAGAAGAUCAUUCACUCAGGGAUCAGCCAAGGUUAAUCACAAUGGUCCUGCCAACUGGCCCGUUUAUCCGAUCAGAAUAGACAGGAGCUGGGAAGCAAAAAUGAACAGCUUUUAAUUUCAGUCUAAUUCAAGUCAGCAGCAUAGGGCAGCUCCUGGGAAAUUGGUUUACACAUGCGGACAAGCCCAGUAGCCCAGAGCUAACCCACUCACCAUCCCUGACCACAGAGGAGCAGAUAAGGAAGCAAGAUUUGUCGGGCUGCACUGCACCGAGCUUGCACAGGGCGAGGCGGGGGCAGGACCUGGGACCCAGCCACCCCGGAGGAAACCGGAGAGGAAACCAGCUUGGUCUUGCUCUCUGCCUCGUCCCAAUCCCCGGCUCUUACCAAAUGCAGAUCCGUUGGCUGAAUGCCUUUUAGUCUGCAUACAUGCAUCUCAUACCGCACAGCCCAAAUUUCUACAACUUGUCCAGGUGCAGUCUCCUCAGAACUACAAAGCAAGAAAAGAUCACCUUUGGGCUCAGGAACUCACAGUCGUUCUCCCUCUCCCGGAAGGCACAAUGACCAGGACAGUACCGAGCUUUACAGCCAUAUUGAACUCACCAUCAACUCAGCACAUUCAACUCAAUCAGUCAAAAUCGUCUUUUCCUGCUGGUAAAUAACACUGAAAUAUGAGUCUCACUCUGUUGCACUGCACUCCAGCCUUGGUGAAAGAGUCAGACUCUGUCUCAAAAAAAAAAAAAAAACUCAUACACUGUCUUGAAAAUAAAGAAAUCCAUCUAAAAAAGGAUAGAUGAGUCCUGCUUACAAUGGCCUCCCAUAGAAAAGGAAAGGUGUUUCUUUUUUCAAGUUCCAAGGUGUUUCUUUUUCCAAGGACCGCAUCCUUGAUUCUUCUUGGCUCUGAAUGCUGUAUGUACGUCUCUAAACCAAAGGUUGCAUUCAGAGAUAAUGACUUUGAGAUCUAGAGACAGGAGGGGCCUGGAUUUGUGAUAGAAGGAGCUGGUCUUCUGUCUUAAUGUUCCCUUACUUCCUAGCUGUGUGCUGGGAUGAGUCACUGAGCCUCGCAAAAACUCCUCUUGCUCAUCUAUGCAGUAGCAGGUGAAAUUAUGUCCCCCAAAGAAACCAGGCCAAGUCCUGAUCUCCACGCUUGUGAAUGUGACUUUAUUUGGAAAUAGGGUCUUUGCAGAAGUAAUUGCGGUCAUCUGGAUUUAGGAUGGGACCCAAAGCCCAACAACUGGUGUCCUUGUAAGAGAGAGGAAAGGAAGAUUGGACAUACGCAGACAUAGAAGAGACGACAAACAAGAAGGCCAUGUGAGGAUGGAGGCAGAAAUGGGAGUGUGGCAGCCGCAAGCCAAGGAAUACCAAGGACUGCCGGCAGACACCCAAAGCUAGGAGGGAGGCAUGGGUGGGAUUCUCCUUCACAGCCCCCAAAGGAAGUAACCCUGCUGCCGCUUUGAUUUCAGAGUUCUGCCUUCAUACUAUGACAGAGCAGGUUUCUAUUGUUUUAAGCCACCGUGCUUUGGUACUUUGUUAUAGCAGCCUUAGGAAGCUGUUAAUAACACAUAUGGGUAACAAUAAUCGGUGCUGCUGUGAGAUCAUGGAUGCACAAGUCAGAAGUCUAUUGUGGGAAGAUGGGAUGGUAAGAACAAAGUCUGUCUCUGGAAGCACGGGCGCUGUCUCUGAAGACAAAUUGAUCGUAACACAAGCAGACCCGGUGGAACGACCUCCAUGCUGAACCCUCAGCUCCCCCUGCAUUUGGACCAUGGCCUGAUGGAAGGUGCGAGAAACCCUGUGACCACGUUACAGCACAGGGGCAGCUUGGCCAGGCCACCCCUUGGGCCUAAUUUUUCUCCCUGGCCAAAGGGGUCAGACUAUUCCAGUGCUGUCUGCUCCCUGGCCUCCAGAGUAAUCAAACACACAUGUUUGGCGCUCCACUAAUCAGGGAAUGAAAUAAAGCUAGAUGUUUCCAUAUGUUGAUUCAAUUUACAAGCAAAAGUAAGUGUCAGGUAGGGGGCACAACAGUAAGGGGUGAGCAGUGAAGAAAUGAUUCCACAAUGACGUUUCGUAAGGAGCAAAAAGAUGAGGAAGAAAAGGGGAGACACAUCAUUGAAGGCCAGGCUCUGUGACAAUUUAUAUUUGCCUAUAUAUCUGUAUCUCUCUCUGUCUUAUCUAAUGAAAUACCAACAACAACCUGAGAACAGUUCUGUCUUCCGUCACAGAUAAAGAGACUGAUCUCAGAGUGGUACAGAUCUACAACCACGUGAAGAAUUGGAUUUAUAUUCAUCUGACUCCAGAAAGUUCCUGAGAUUCCUCUGCUUCAUCAUCUUUCCCAUGCCCUUUAAAACACGUUAUCAAAUAGCAACAGGUGGUGCAAUAACUAGACAAAUGAUUCUCAGCCUUUUUCUUUGCCAUUAGCACUCCCGGAAGGAGACGUGUUGGACACUUUUCCUUGUCACCACCCCAUGAACCUUCCAUACCACAGGUAUACUGUGUAUUCGGUUAUGUAUCAUCUGUACAUCUGUUUCUAAAACACAGAAACAGUAAGAGCCCCCCAUCCAAGAAUCCAUUUUAAUCCUCUUGGGUGUGAUGUCACCCCCCAAAAAUGCAUAUGCUCUGGAGUCAGUCACAAACACAUUACGAAUGCAUGAUCACUUAAGAAUGUUACCAAAGUUUAUAAAUUUGAGAUGAUAAUUCUAUGUUAUUUAGUUCAUUUUAGAGAUAAGUAAGAACCAGAGAUUCCAGAGAGGUAGACCAAGCUGACAGAGCAAGGAAAGGCAGAGCCAGACAUGCAGCUGAAGCAUCUGAAUUCCAGCCAAUGAGGGGGCAUCAGGGCCACAGCCUUGCUAAAAUCCAUCCUCUCUGUUCCUUUGCUCUUCUGAGGUUCUCUGAGUUACCGCAGCAGAUUGAUGGCAUCCAAUUAACUUUCUGUGGGUGGUUCAAUUGGGUGACCACCCUGGAGGUCAGCGUCUAUGCCUGCUUCCUUCUGGUCCAUGAGUCGUGCCUGGAGGUCUGCAGCCCUUAGCACGCUGCAUGGUAACACAGCCCAGUGCAGGAAGCAUUUGCCCAGAGCCUGCUCUACCCCAUUCAGGCCCCCUCCCCCAGCACAGCAGGACCUGCAAGCAUGGGUCUGAAAAACAGAUCGGAGACCUCCAAUCCAUGGCCAGAUUCUAGCUGAGGCACACGAGGGUCUAGGGUUUCGCCAGGUUAACUCCCAGGAACCAGAGCAGGGAGGGGUUUCUGGCAGUCAGCCACUUGGACAAAGGCUCCCAGAAAGCACUGGAGCCUGAGCCCCACCCGCUUGCCAACCCCUCUGCCUGGAGCGCCCCGGGGCCGAGCUGCCUCGAUGCGUGACUUGCCCAGGCCUCACACAGCUGAGCAGAGCUGGAAGCCUCCCGACACAUUCCUGGUCUCAACUUCACUUUCCCUGCCUGGUUCCUAUUAAUGAUGUGGGUUUCCAAGCCCUAAUAGCAGAGCUCUGGCUUCAGAGGAGGGCUGCCUGGGGCUGCCGGCCGCCAACCAGGUCGCACACAAACGGGAUCUUUUGGAGUCACCCUUUAUGGCCCGGACACUGGAUUAUUUAUAAACUUCUUGAAAACAAAUAAACAAAAGCAAAACUGAAAACCUUGGAAGACACCAGGCUGGACAUAUGCUCCUUUCUUCAGGGACAGAAGUCAGGCAGAUUGGAAGACGCGUUUGUUGGUAAACGCCGGCCUCCCUAACUCCAUGCUGUUGAUGUUGCAUUCGGUGAAGCCCUUUCUUUGGAAGCUUCAUCACUGGCAUCGCCACUAGGCUGCUGGAGAUGCCCUGCAAGUAAUGAGUUUUGCAAACCCAUGAAAGACACAGCCCACCUCUCAUGACAACUCAAUUUGAAUGAGACAGACACUAGUUAAAUAGGCAAACAAUCACAUAAAGUGGCAGUUGCUAUGGUACGGCAGUGUAGGAUGCUAAAGAUAUAGGGAAAUAAGUCCUAACCCCCUCUUGGCGAUUCAGGAAUGGUUUCCAGGAAUGGAAUCAGAGCUGGUUUUGAAGAAUAAGUAGGUGUUUUCCAGGUGGAAAAAUGACAGCAGGAUAUCCCUGGUCUAGAGAAUAGCAUGUGCCAAAGUCAUGGAGGGUGGGCAAAACAAACACAAGCAGAACUUGGCUGGGGCAUGUAGUGUGAGGUAUGCUCACGGAGAGGAAGCUGGGAAAGAAAGCAGGGGCUUGACCAUGAAAGACCUUCAAAGUCAUGCUAAAGAGAUGGCCCAUGGAUCAGAUGUUCAAGUUAGGAAUUCUCUCUCUGGCAGCAAUGGGGAACAGGGGAUGGAAUGGCAGGAGGCAGGGGGCAGUAAGAUCACAGAGAAGCUGCUGUAGAAGCCCAAGUGCUCAGUGAUGGGGUGGCCGAACCUCAAAAAUUGGAGAUCUUUAAAAAAUAACCUCAGUGAUUUUUUUUUUUUGUGGCCAAGCAUUUACAGAGAUGUUUAUUUGAUUUUUCCUAAAAUAUCAGUCUGCAUUGUGUGCCACAACUCCCUACUACAUGGAUGAUACCCCAAGAUACGAACAUUCAUUAUAUCAUGUUCACUAGACAAAUGGUCAUUCUAAAAUGUAGCCAUGACUAUAUGAUUCCCCUACUCUAAAACCUCUCAUGGCUGCCUUCAACCUCCAAAAAAGAUCAGCCUCUCAGCAUGGCAAACCAGCCCUCAUAUGCUGGCCCCAUCAUGGCUCCAGGUCUCCCCCUGUCCCCCUGUUCACGUCAUACCUUCCUACUUCUAGUUAUUCAACCAGAUUCUUCUGCUGUUUUGUUUUUUUCGCAAGCUAGCCAUCACUCUUAGAGGAAAACUUCUGUUUACUCUUCAAAACCUGAACAUCUACUAGGUUCUAGUGGCAACGGUUAGGUCAUAGAUAUAUAGAUUACUUAUCUUGUGAAAUUCUCAAACCAACCGGAAGUUAUAUACUGUUAUUCCCAAAUUAAGCUGAGCAAGAUUGUAGGAGACCAUGCAGGUAGUGAGUGGAUAAAGCAGAACUUUACCCCAGGCUUGUCUGACUAUAAGUUCCAUGAGUGUUUCCUUAUCCCAUACUGCCUUUUGCAAUCCAGUGCUGGCACGUUAAACCUGUGGCAUAAUAGGGAUAGGUGUUCCCUAGACCCAACCACAAAGGGUCAGCUCACGUCUCUUCCCCUGGAUGGCCUCUUUUCACUGCUCCCUUCUGGAAAGUUUCUGUCUAGGUCAAGGGCAUUGUGGGCCACAUCCCAUAUGGCAGUAGGUGACCACGGCUAAUGUAGGCCUUGUACUGUUUUAUGUGUGUGUUGGUUUAUGUGUGUGUUGGUUUGUUUGCAGGAUAAGCCUCAGAAGAAAUGUUUGUAUGAGUCUUCUCUUGUAAUAAAUUAUCACCAACUGGGUGGCUUAAAGCAAUACAAAUUUAUUUUCUUUCAGCUCUGUAGGACAGACAUCAGACAUGGGUCUCACUGGACUCACAUCAAGAUGCCAGCAGGUUGCAUUCCUUUCUGGAAGCUCUAGGUGGAAAAAUGUGUCCCCUUUUUAAGGUCACAGAUGCCUCCCACAUCCCUUGGCUCAUGGACCCCUUCCUCUUUCUUCAAAGUCAGCAACAUCAUUUCUCUCUGACCCUUCUUCAUGGUCCUCUCUCCCUCUGACUCUGAACUCAGCCAGGAAUGGUUCGUGGAUUUCAAGGACCCUUGUGACUAUAUUUAGUGUCCUCCCAGGUGUACUAGGAUCAUCUACAAGGAAGCUGAGCCUUCACAAGGUCGAACAACACAUUUGAUGCCAUGCAACUGAGAAGUGGUUCAAGCUGGAUUUGAACAAAUGUAGUCAGACUCUGCAGCCUAUGCAUGUACCCACUGUGCUAUGCUGUCGCAUUGAAUAAAAUGCAGUGCCCUCAAUACGAAGUCAAUGUGAGCACAUACCAAGAAUCAUAUUGGGAAGGAGAAGUCCUCAGUAGGCAAAACACUUUCCAGCAAUGUUAACCUGGAUGUGGAUAGAAAGGAGACUUGGGAAUUUCUCUGACUUAAUUCAUCUCUGGGUCCAUUUGAAGCAC
This 8079-nucleotide long non-coding RNA is filed under the name Homo sapiens (human). RNAcentral describes it as "non-protein coding LINC01550:1". Lineage: Eukaryota; Metazoa; Chordata; Mammalia; Primates; Hominidae. The record is from RNAcentral.